RNAcentral lists this ribosomal RNA (230 nucleotides) under uncultured bacterium. RNAcentral describes it as "partial 16S ribosomal RNA". It matches the Rfam family "Bacterial small subunit ribosomal RNA", at positions 564 to 791 of the family's 1533-position model. The record is from RNAcentral.
AGGGUGCGUAGGCGGCCUUUUAAGUCUGGGGUGAAAGCCCGUUGCUUAACAACGGAACUGCCCUGGAUACUGGAAGGCUUGAGUACAGACGAGGUUGGCGGAAUGGACGGAGUAGCGGUGAAAUGCAUAGAUACCGUCCAGAACCCCCGAUUGCGAAGGCAGCUGACUAGGCUGUUACUGACGCUGAGGCACGACAGCGUGGGGGAGCGAACAGGAUUAGAUACCCUUGU